GACGUAGGGGGCGAGCGUUAUCCGGAUUCACUGGGCGUAAAGGGCGCGUAGGCGGUUACGAAAGUCCGAUGUGAAAAGUCACGGCUCAACUGUGAUCGUGCAUCGGAUACUUCGUUGACUUGAGGUCGGUAGAGGCAAGUGGAACUAGCGGUGUAGCGGUGAAAUGCGCAGAUAUCGCUAGGAACGCCGGUGGCGAAGGCGAUUUGCUGGGCCGUACCUGACGCUGAUGCGCGAAAGCUAGGGGAGCGAACCGG
RNAcentral lists this ribosomal RNA (254 nucleotides) under uncultured bacterium. Its description in RNAcentral is "partial 16S ribosomal RNA". It matches the Rfam family "Bacterial small subunit ribosomal RNA", at positions 524 to 776 of the family's 1533-position model. The record is from RNAcentral.